Molecule: long non-coding RNA, 886 nt
Filed under: Pongo abelii (Sumatran orangutan)
Lineage: Eukaryota; Metazoa; Chordata; Mammalia; Primates; Hominidae
Description: lncRNA (ENSPPYG00000035062.1)
Source: RNAcentral
CCACACACUCACAGCUUCUGUCUUGGGAGAAAAGCUUUUAAGCAGCCUAUUCUAUCUUUUUGAUGAUAAAUUUUUCUUUCUCUCUAACUUUAUGCCCAAUAAACAGUCCCCCUAAGUUUCUCCUUCCCUCCCUGCCAUACCUGUAUCCUGCCACCCAACCCAAUGACUCUGCUGACCUCUUCAGAAGUGCUGAGUCACCAUGCCAUGAUCACUAUGUCUCCUGAAACAGCCAGAAAUAUCUCUUUAUGUGCUCCAAAUGUUACGGUCUGAGAGAAGACAACACAAGGAAGAGGAAAUGCAUAGGAAAUUGGACUCACUUGGGAUGACUUGGAGCUUUGUUCCAGUUCCAAAGAGUGACUUUGGGAUGUUAUCUGGGCACCUGGAAGCUUUGGCCCUGGCCAUGGAGGGCACUGAGGUUGCAAGGGGCUGCCAGCUGCAAGAAAAAGUGUUUGCAUUUCAGAUCAGACUUCUCUGAUGGAACUGACCACCGGGCUAAGGAGACGUCUUCCAUACUGCUUCUCUGUUAAGCUUCCAUUCUGCUUCCCUGUUAACAACGCAAACUGCUACCUGGCAGAAGUGAGGAUGGAGAAGGCAUGAAGAAUGCUCUGCUCCUCAUGAAAUAUGGUUAAAUCGAGAACAUUUGGCAGUCCACUUAGAUUUCCAAAAAAGCUUAUUACUUGUCUUAAUAACUAAUCAAAUUCAGAAUUCCUUAGUAAUAAUACUUACUAAGAUCCACCUUUAACAUGGUCCCCCUUGCAAAGAGCAGCUUCUGGCCAUCUGAAAACCCACAGUGAUCUAUUGUACCACAAAAACCAAAGGAUGCUUCGUUUCCAAGCAUAGUACUUCUCCCAGGGUUCUUUCGCUUGGUUGAAACCUAAUCUAACAC